This 329-nucleotide unclassified non-coding RNA is filed under the name soil metagenome. Its description in RNAcentral is "partial contains 5.8S ribosomal RNA, internal transcribed spacer 2, and large subunit ribosomal RNA". The stretch from base 1 to 120 matches the Rfam family "5.8S ribosomal RNA", at positions 35 to 154 of the family's 154-position model. The record is from RNAcentral.
GAUGAAGAACGUAGCGAAAUGCGAUAAGUAAUGUGAAUUGCAGAAUUCAGUGAAUCAUCGAAUCUUUGAACGCACAUUGCGCCCGCCAGUAUUCUGGCGGGCAUGCCUGUUCGAGCGUCAUUUCACCACUCAAGCCUGGCUUGGUGUUGGGCGACGUCCUCUUUGGGGACGCGCCUCGAAACGCUCGGCGGCGUGGCACCGGCUUUAAGCGUAGCAGAAUCUUUCGCUUUGGAAGUCGGGGCCCCGUCUGCCGGAAGACCUGCUCGCAAGGUUGACCUCGGAUCAGGCAGGGAUACCCGCUGAACUUAAGCAUAUCAAUAAGCGGAGGA